Molecule: long non-coding RNA, 1098 nt
Organism: Symphalangus syndactylus (siamang)
Lineage: Eukaryota; Metazoa; Chordata; Mammalia; Primates; Hylobatidae
Source: RefSeq, a predicted model, not a curated record
CCAUCUUUGACUUUCUCUGUGGAUUAACUAUUCUGCUUUGUAUCAAAAGAGUGCUAGUUUAAUUUUUAACAUUGUGAAUAUUAUCACUAUCCUUUAUAAGAGCUCAGAUAAUGAAAAUGAGAAUGAUGACAACUCCAAUGCCAGCAUGACCCAGGUAUCAUAAAAAAUGAAGACUAAAUGGAAGAACGCAUCACUGGCUUAGGGAGAUAAACAACAAAAACAGAAUAUACUGUAUACUGUACAGAAAAGAAUCUGGGAUUGGACAUACUGGAGAAGGAGAUGUGAAAGCACAUAUGAAGACGGAAUCUCAUAGGGAGAAGAUACAAAAAGGUUGGCCUGGGAAGAGAGAUCAUCAUGGCAGAUGGGACGCAGGACUACAUUGCAGCUCCUACUCGGAUGGACAGAGCAGCAUGCGGAGGCUCACAUUGCGAAUUUUAGCUCCAGAACAACUGCAAGAACAAACCAGGAAUCCUAAGAGGACCCACAGACCCUGUGAAGGAAGUGGAGUGCUCCUGCAGGACUCGGGAGACACCCCAAAUACUACUUCAACUGGGAAGUUGAGAAGGCAGAAUCUUCUACCUCAUGAAUGUCGAGCCAAUACAUAGAGGAGAGCAAACAAAACCUAGAUACAGAACAAAAGUUUUGGGGUCCUACACAAGAAUUUGCUGAAGUUAAAAGAGAAAUGAGCUACUAUUACACACGACAUGUGUGAAUCUCAAAAUCAUCAUGUUGAAAGAAGCCAGACACAAAAGAGGAGAAGACUCAACAUUUGCACUGGUUUCUCAAAAGGGUUUCAACUACACAAAAAGUGUUUAAAAAUCCAGUUAUAUGGAGAAAUAAGAUCAAUUUAUUGUCAAAAGACAGAAUUAUUCCUUUUAUACAUCAACCAGGCUUGACAUAACUGUAAUCUCACGGAAAUGUCUGCUACUGUAAUCAAGAAUUUGCAUGUAGAAGGAAUGCAUCACAGAAUAUAUGACAUCUUGCUAUGUCUACUGUAUUAAAGAAUUAAAGAGGUUUGAAAAUAAAUACGAAACAAAUCAGACAGAAACCUCAAUUUUAUUAAACUAAAAUAUCAUAGCUAGGAACAUCUCAAAUUGA